Molecule: transfer RNA, 361 nt
Filed under: uncultured Microcystis sp.
Lineage: Bacteria; Bacillati; Cyanobacteriota; Cyanophyceae; Chroococcales; Microcystaceae
Description: partial 16S-23S ribosomal RNA intergenic spacer
Rfam family: tRNA (bases 136-209)
Source: RNAcentral
AAAGGGAGACCUAAUUCAGGUAAAAGACGAAAAAAAAGUAGUCCCUACCAGGAAUCAAUCCCAAAAGGUCGGAGCGAGGCGAAAUUGGCUUUCAAACUAGGUUCUGGGUUCAAACAAGACCUGAAUCAGGAACAAGGGCUAUUAGCUCAGGUGGUUAGAGCGCACCCCUGAUAAGGGUGAGGUCCCUGGUUCGAGUCCAGGAUGGCCCACCUGCACAGGUGGCAAAAACAAGAGAAGCGAGGAAUCAGCACCUUAUCUUACUUAUAUAGUAAGAGAGAAUGCUGGCUCUGAGUAAAGAGUCCAGAGGAACCUUGAAAACUGCAUAGAGCUAGGUGAAAAAGCCAAAAAAGAAGACCGCAAG